RNAcentral lists this ribosomal RNA (714 nucleotides) under uncultured bacterium. Its description in RNAcentral is "bacterial SSU rRNA". It matches the Rfam family "Bacterial small subunit ribosomal RNA", at positions 111 to 823 of the family's 1533-position model. The record is from RNAcentral.
UAACACGUAUCCAACCUGCCGUCUACUCUUGGACAGCCUUCUGAAAGGAAGAUUAAUACAAGAUGGCAUCAUGGGUUCACAUGUUCACAUGAUUAAAGGUAUUCCGGUAGACGAUGGGGAUGCGUUCCAUUAGAUAGUAGGCGGGGUAACGGCCCACCUAGUCUUCGAUGGAUAGGGGUUCUGAGAGGAAGGUCCCCCACAUUGGAACUGAGACACGGUCCAAACUCCUACGGGAGGCAGCAGUGAGGAAUAUUGGUCAAUGGGCGAGGGCCUGAACCAGCCAAGUAGCGUGAAGGAUGACUGCCCUAUGGGUUGUAAACUUCUUUUAUAAAGGGAUAAAGUCGGGUAUGCAUACCCGUUUGCAUGUACUUUAUGAAUAAGGAUCGGCUAACUCCGUGCCAGCAGCCGCGGUAAUACGGAGGAUCCGAGCGUUAUCCGGAUUUAUUGGGUUUAAAGGGAGCGUAGAUGGAUGUUUAAGUCAGUUGUGAAAGUUUGCGGCUCAACCGUAAAAUUGCAGUUGAUACUGGAUAUCUUGAGUGCAGUUGAGGCAGGCGGAAUUCGUGGUGUAGCGGUGAAAUGCUUAGAUAUCACGAAGAACUCCGAUUGCGAAGGCAGCCUGCUAAGCUGCAACUGACAUUGAGGCUCGAAAGUGUGGGUAUCAAACAGGAUUAGAUACCCUGGUAGUCCACACGGUAAACGAUGAAUACUCGCUGU